RNAcentral lists this ribosomal RNA (301 nucleotides) under uncultured bacterium. RNAcentral's name for it is "partial 16S ribosomal RNA". It matches the Rfam family "Bacterial small subunit ribosomal RNA", at positions 509 to 807 of the family's 1533-position model. The record is from RNAcentral.
CAGCAGCCACGGUAAUACAGAGGGUGCGAGCGUUAAUCGGAUUUACUGGGCGUAAAGCGUGCGUAGGCGGCUUCUUAAGUCGGAUGUGAAAUCCCUGAGCUUAACUUAGGAAUUGCAUUCGAUACUGGGAAGCUAGAGUAUGGGAGAGGAUGGUAGAAUUCCAGGUGUAGCGGUGAAAUGCGUAGAGAUCUGGAGGAAUACCGAUGGCGAAGGCAGCCAUCUGGCCUAAUACUGACGCUGAGGUACGAAAGCAUGGGGAGCAAACAGGAUUAGAGACCCCUGUAGUCCCUGUCUCUUAUAC